GUGCCUAACACAUGCAAGUCGAACGAGAAAGUGGAGCAAUCCAUGAGUACAGUGGCGCACGGGUGAGUAACACGUGACUAACCUGCCUUCGAGUGGGGGAUAACCCCGGGAAACCGGGGCUAAUACCGCAUAACAUCUCCGGGCUGCAAUGCCUGGAGAUCAAAGGGGUAACUCGCUGGAAGAGGGGGUCGCGGCUGAUUAGCUAGUUGGCGGGGUAAUGGCCCACCAAGGCGAUGAUCAGUAGCCGGCCUGAGAGGGCGCACGGCCACACUGGAACUGAAACACGGUCCAG
This 292-nucleotide ribosomal RNA is filed under the name uncultured bacterium. RNAcentral describes it as "partial 16S ribosomal RNA". It matches the Rfam family "Bacterial small subunit ribosomal RNA", at positions 44 to 334 of the family's 1533-position model. The record is from RNAcentral.